Molecule: ribosomal RNA, 730 nt
Filed under: uncultured bacterium
Lineage: Bacteria
Description: bacterial SSU rRNA
Rfam family: Bacterial small subunit ribosomal RNA
Source: RNAcentral
CAUGCAAGUUGAGCGGUAGCACAGGAGAGCUUGCUCUCUGGGUGACGAGCGGCGGACGGGUGAGUAAUGUCUGGGAAACUGCCUGAUGGAGGGGGAUAACUACUGGAAACGGUAGCUAAUACCGCAUGACCUCGCAAGAGCAAAGUGGGGGACCUUCGGGCCUCACGCCAUCGGAUGUGCCCAGAUGGGAUUAGCUAGUAGGUGGGGUAAUGGCUCACCUAGGCGACGAUCCCUAGCUGGUCUGAGAGGAUGACCAGCCACACUGGAACUGGGACACGGUCCAGACUCCUACGGGAGGCAGCAGUGGGGAAUAUUGCACAAUGGGCGCAAGCCUGAUGCAGCCAUGCCGCGUGUGUGAAGAAGGCCUUAGGGUUGUAAAGCACUUUCAGCGAGGAGGAAGGGUUCAGUGUUAAUAGCACUGAGCAUUGACGUUACUCGCAGAAGAAGCACCGGCUAACUCCGUGCCAGCAGCCGCGGUAAUACGGAGGGUGCAAGCGUUAAUCGGAAUUACUGGGCGUAAAGCGCACGCAGGCGGUUUGUUAAGUCAGAUGUGAAAUCCCCGAGCUUAACUUGGGAACUGCAUUUGAAACUGGCAAGCUAGAGUCUUGUAGAGGGGGGUAGAAUUCCAGGUGUAGCGGUGAAAUGCGUAGAGAUCUGGAGGAAUACCGGUGGCGAAGGCGGCCCCCUGGACAAAGACUGACGCUCAGGUGCGAAAGCGUGGGGAGCAAAC